Molecule: long non-coding RNA, 858 nt
Organism: Daphnia magna
Lineage: Eukaryota; Metazoa; Arthropoda; Branchiopoda; Diplostraca; Daphniidae
Exons: 2
Source: RefSeq, a predicted model, not a curated record
CAAAAAGAAGGUCCUGAGAGGAUUUUAGGAACGUUACAGAACAGAUUGGGGAGGAAAGUUGGAAGUUCUGGGGAGUUGCUAGGGAGCCUGGUGUGCCGUGUGGGCAGCCCACCAUUCCCAUUACUAAUAGCGACUUAAAUUCUCUCCCUCGCUUCACUCCAAUCACAUUCGUAAGCACGGGGAAUCCAACCGAAACCCAUUCAGAUGCUGGAUACCGCCAACUUAAUGUUGAUGAAUAAACAAUUAAAUUUCAUCAACAACAGUAAUUGUCCUUUCUCCAGGACUCUCCCGAUUCUUAUGUACAACACAGCGUCUUUCAAAAACUAUUUUCCCCAUCCAUCCAUCUUUUUUCAAAAUGUUUUUAAAACUUCCUCGUUGUUGCGAAUGCUUUCCAAAAUUAGUUCACGUACCAAAUGCUCCCUUACACUCCUUACUUCCAUUACCUCCAACAUAAAAGAAAACAAUGUCAGCGGCUUUUUCUUAAUAGCAGUGCAGUUGAUUUGAUUUCAUGUAACAACUUAAGACAAUUUUGUACAUCUCCUUACCCAAAACAUCCCAUUUUCCCAUGCGCACCAACACAUUUUCCACCAACAACGUUGGAAGUAAACUCGGAAUCGGUGUUUAAACGUUAUGCCUCAAUAUCAAAGUUUUAUUCUUACUUCUAUACUUCGUAAGAUCCUUACUGUAUUAUCUGUUGUUCCUCUUCCUUAAGUUCGAAAAGAAUGUUUUUUUUUUCAGUUCUUGUACUUUAAGAGCUUAGAGAACGUUUUUACUUUUUUACUCAAACAAAAUUUACCAAGUUCUAGUUAUUUUGAAGUGACUUCAUGUUGAAUAAAAAUUUACUUAAACUAAAGUUUA